Molecule: ribosomal RNA, 374 nt
Filed under: uncultured organism
Description: partial 16S ribosomal RNA
Rfam family: Bacterial small subunit ribosomal RNA
Source: RNAcentral
GUAGGUGGCAAGCGUUGUCCGGAAUUAUUGGGCGUAAAGCGCGCGCAGGCGGUUCGUUUAAGUCUGAUGUGAAAGCCCACGGGCUCAACCGUGGAGGGUCAUUGGAAACUGGAGAACUUGAGUACAGAAGAGGAAAGCGGAAUUCCACGUGUAGCGGUGAAAUGCGUAGAGAUGUGGAGGAACACCAGUGGCGAAGGCGGCUUUCUGGUCUGUAACUGACGCUGAGGCGCGAAAGCGUGGGGAGCAAACAGGAUUAGAUACCCUGGUAGUCCGCGCCGUAAACGAUGAGUGCUAAGUGUUAGGGGGUUUCCGCCCCUUAGUGCUGCAGCUAACGCAUUAAGCACUCCGCCUGGGGAGUACGGCCGCAAAGGCUG